UUAACUAUUUUAAUAGUACUCGGACGACACUAACAUUCAGAGUUUAGGGGUCCUCUGGCGGGCACGCCAGACGCGAAUCUAGGCGCACGAGGCGCGGCCCGCCAAAGCAACAUUCUAUAAUGAUACACAAGGGUGGGAGAUCUACCCCGAAGGGCAUGAACUCUGUAAUGAUCCUUCCGCAGGUUCACCUACGGAAA
Molecule: unclassified non-coding RNA, 197 nt
Filed under: uncultured fungus
Lineage: Eukaryota; Fungi
Description: sequence contains ITS1
Source: RNAcentral